GUCCCUUCGGGGACAUCCGAUAAAAUUGGAACGAUACAGAGAAGAUUAGCAUGGCCCCUGCGCAAGGAUGACACGCAUACUUACGAGAGAGAAAACGAAAAA
Small nuclear RNA from Salvia splendens (bonfire salvia), 102 nucleotides. The record is from RefSeq and is a predicted model, not a curated record. Lineage: Eukaryota; Viridiplantae; Streptophyta; Magnoliopsida; Lamiales; Lamiaceae.